RNAcentral lists this long non-coding RNA (1460 nucleotides) under Parus major (Great Tit). RNAcentral's name for it is "lncRNA (ENSPMJG00000011197.1)". The record is from RNAcentral. Lineage: Eukaryota; Metazoa; Chordata; Aves; Passeriformes; Paridae.
UAGAACAGGAGAAGUUGUAAUGUGUACAUUCCUUCUCUGAUAACACAGGCAUAACAAAAAAUUAAGUAGGUGUGUUUAUUUCCCACAAUACAGACUGGUUGUUUCAAAGCUGAGACAUCAGACAUACCAGUGGAAUGCAAUCCUGGAACAGCAAGUACAGCAAGUUCAGACAGGAAUUUGCUCAGGGAUCUGGUUAAGAAUAACCAGUCACCAGACUCCAGCCUGGCUGGGCAUAAUAUUAUUGCAAAGGGCUGAUGGCUGCAAAUGCUCCGGAAGAAUAUGGUUGUAUGGGAAUUGUGAAAGCUCUACCCUUGAAAUGAAACUAAGCCAGUAUUUCGUGCCUUCUUGCUUUUUAAAAAACAUAUUAUUGUCAAACUUCUUUGAUAGUCCCACAGUCCCUCCAUGCAUAGCAAAGACUGCAGUGUAUCAAAACACUAUCAGGAUUCCAGAUGGAACUUGAAGAGAUCUUCUAUUUAACCCUGUGCACAUCACUUCAAAUCACUGAUUUCUUUCUUCAUGAUUGAAUUUAGACUGAAGGCACUGAGACACGAGCUGUUAAAUCAUGAGGUCCCACUUUCUACUGGAACUCCAGGAAUUACAGCACCCUAUAAAGUCUCUGCACAAAGCACAACUUAGAUGAUAAAAAAGACCUUUUUCUGUAAAGAAAGGCAAAUUCGGUUUAUAUAUAUUCAUAUUUUCAUAACAUGUAUUUGAAGAAAUACAUUACAUGUAGUGCUCAUGUCAGCUAUUGCUCUGCCAUUUUCUAAAGACAUGAUAAGGAGGUUGCUAUGUUUUGUAAGCAUGGCUUUUUCUGUACACAUCUUAGUCUCUUCAGACAAGUGCUGGGAUAGCAUGAAGUUUUAAACCCUCCACACUUGUUGGAAAACUAGAAAACAUUUUCAUAGGUAAUAAGAUCACAAGGAAACAUUUGUGUCAUCUAAAAUGUCUGAUAAUACAACCCCCCAACUUUUAUUCAAUAAUUGUUCCAAACAUUAUACUUCUCUAUCUCUAUUGUCUGUGUCAAACUGUAUUUGAUAAAAUAUUUAUUUCAUUGUUUGAAGUAUGUAAAAUCCUUUAACAGACAUACACUAUUGAAGAAAGAAGACUGUGGCUAUUUUAUGAUAUUUUACAUUGUGACAGUCAGACAGGGGAAGGGAGAGGCCCUUUUUUAAAUUCAGGUUGGUCUUCUAUGUGUCUCCAUUUCUACCUGAUGGUGCAACAGCUUUCCUAAGGUACCUAAGUGACAAUGGAAAUAUCUGAACUACAUUUUAUUCUUAAGCACAGGCAUAAUCCCUUCUAGUGUGUUCUAGCCUAGCUGUCUAAUGUAGUUUUUGUAAGGUACUGUUACUCAUUAUUCAUUUAUCUGUGCUUCUUUUACAUGAAAUUCUUCAGCAAAACUCAGAAUUCUGCAUCCUAAAUGUACUCUUGUAUCUGACUAAAAUGCAAGCCACUCUUUCUGU